RNAcentral lists this ribosomal RNA (442 nucleotides) under uncultured bacterium. RNAcentral describes it as "bacterial SSU rRNA". It matches the Rfam family "Bacterial small subunit ribosomal RNA", at positions 958 to 1398 of the family's 1533-position model. The record is from RNAcentral.
AACGCGAAGAACCUUACCAGCUCUUGACAUGUCUCGUAUGGGCCGGGGAGACCCGGUUCUUCAGUUCGGCUGGCGGGAACACAGGUGCUGCAUGGCUGUCGUCAGCUCGUGUCGUGAGAUGUUGGGUUAAGUCCCGCAACGAGCGCAACCCUUGUCCUGUGUUACCAUGCCGAAAGGCGGCACUCGCAGGAGACCGCCAGCGAUAAGCUGGAGGAAGGUGGGGAUGACGUCAAGUCCUCAUGGCCUUUAUGUCCAGGGCUACACACGUGCUACAAUGGGCGGUACAAAGCGCUGCUAAGCCGCAAGGUGGAGCCAAUCGCAAAAAGCCGCUCUCAGUUCGGAUUGCAGGCUGCAACUCGCCUGCAUGAAGCUGGAAUCGCUAGUAAUGCUAUAUCAGAACGAUAGCGUGAAUACGUUCCCGGCCUUGUACACACCGACGCAC